Oenanthe melanoleuca is the source of this 524-nucleotide long non-coding RNA. RefSeq lists it as uncharacterized. Lineage: Eukaryota; Metazoa; Chordata; Aves; Passeriformes; Muscicapidae. The transcript is spliced from 2 exons. The record is from RefSeq and is a predicted model, not a curated record.
UCAUCUCUACCACAAGCAGACGCUCUUUUAUAGCUUCCGAGCAGAGGAUAACAAUUCAGCACACAGGUGGAUUGAAGCCAUGGAAGAAGCAUCCAUAUUAUAGCAGGUUUCACAAUGAACUUGGAAUAAAUUCUCAUAUUUCUAUACAUAUCCAGCAAACCUCUUCUAACUUACAAAGCUAAACAGUGUAUUUCAGGCCCACUGGCCACACACACUGGAUCUGAACUGUUUCCAGCUUACUCUUUUUCUUCAUUUUUCUUACAUCCAUAUUGUUACAAAUGAAAAUUUCAAGAGAAGAGAUUAUUUAUGGUGAUCUUUAUGUCUGUGCAAGUUCAGCCUGUACUAUAAGCUUCGCUUCUGAUCCCACAGUAAACUAAGUCUAACAUCAAGACCAGAAAAUACAUGGAAAUAAUGACUACAGUAAGUAACAGACUCAGUUUUACUUACUCCAGAGCACUAUGGUAUUUCACUGGGUUGGCUUUGAUGUCUACCAUGACACGAGAAACAAUGCAGUAAACAACAAA